GCGUUCCUACGGGGCGCAGCAGUCGGGAAUAUUGCGCAAUGGAGGAAACUCUGACGCAGUGACGCCGCGUAUAGGAAGAAGGUUUUCGGAUUGUAAACUAUUGUCGUGAGGGAAGAAGAUGACAGUACCUCAGGAGGAAGCUCCGGCUAACUAUGUGCCAGCAGCCGCGGUAAUACAUAGGGAGCAAGCGUUAUCCGGAAUUACUGGGUGUAAAGGGAGCGUAGACGGCUGUGCAAGUCUGGAGUGAAAGGCGGGGGCCCAACCCCCGGACUGCUCUGGAAACUGUAUGGCU
This 292-nucleotide ribosomal RNA is filed under the name uncultured bacterium. RNAcentral describes it as "partial 16S ribosomal RNA". It matches the Rfam family "Bacterial small subunit ribosomal RNA", at positions 333 to 642 of the family's 1533-position model. The record is from RNAcentral.